This 1358-nucleotide ribosomal RNA is filed under the name uncultured bacterium. Its description in RNAcentral is "bacterial SSU rRNA". It matches the Rfam family "Bacterial small subunit ribosomal RNA", at positions 28 to 1381 of the family's 1533-position model. The record is from RNAcentral.
GAUGAACGCUAGCUACAGGCUUAACACAUGCAAGUCGAGGGGCAGCAUGGUCUUAGCUUGCUAAGGCCGAUGGCGACCGGCGCACGGGUGAGUAACACGUAUCCAACCUGCCGUCUACUCUUGGACAGCCUUCUGAAAGGAAGAUUAAUACAAGAUGGCAUCAUGAGUCCACAUGUUCACAUGAUUAAAGGUAUUCCGGUAGACGAUGGGGAUGCGUUCCAUUAGAUAGUAGGCGGGGUAAUGGCCCACCUAGUCUUCGAUGGAUAGGGGUUCUGAGAGGAAGGUCCCCCACAUUGGAACUGAGACACGGUCCAAACUCCUACGGGAGGCAGCAGUGAGGAAUAUUGGUCAAUGGGCGAGAGCCUGAACCAGCCAAGUAGCGUGAAGGAUGACUGCCCUAUGGGUUGUAAACUUCUUUUAUAAAGGAAUAAAGUCGGGUAUGCAUACCCGUUUGCAUGUACUUUAUGAAUAAGGAUCGGCUAACUCCGUGCCAGCAGCCGCGGUAAUACGGAGGAUCCGAGCGUUAUCCGGAUUUAUUGGGUUUAAAGGGAGCGUAGAUGGAUGUUUAAGUCAGUUGUGAAAGUUUGCGGCUCAACCGUAAAAUUGCAGUUGAUACUGGAUAUCUUGAGUGCAGUUGAGGCAGGCGGAAUUCGUGGCGUAGCGGUGAAAUGCUUAGAUAUCACGAAGAACUCCGAUUGCGAAGGCAGCCUGCUAAGCUGCAACUGACAUUGAGGCUCGAAAGUGUGGGUAUCAAACAGGAUUAGAUACCCUGGUAGUCCACACGGUAAACGAUGAAUACUCGCUGUUUGCGAUAUACAGCAAGCGGCCAAGCGAAAGCGUUAAGUAUUCCACCUGGGGAGUACGCCGGCAACGGUGAAACUCAAAGGAAUUGACGGGGGCCCGCACAAGCGGAGGAACAUGUGGUUUAAUUCGAUGAUACGCGAGGAACCUUACCCGGGCUUAAAUUGCAGAUGAAUUACGGUGAAAGCCGUAAGCCGCAAGGCAUCUGUGAAGGUGCUGCAUGGUUGUCGUCAGCUCGUGCCGUGAGGUGUCGGCUUAAGUGCCAUAACGAGCGCAACCCUUGUUGUCAGUUACUAACAGGUUCCGCUGAGGACUCUGACAAGACUGCCAUCGUAAGAUGUGAGGAAGGUGGGGAUGACGUCAAAUCAGCACGGCCCUUACGUCCGGGGCUACACACGUGUUACAAUGGGGGGUACAGAGGGCCGCUACCACGCGAGUGGAUGCCAAUCCCCAAAACCUCUCUCAGUUCGGACUGGAGUCUGCAACCCGACUCCACGAAGCUGGAUUCGCUAGUAAUCGCGCAUCAGCCACGGCGCGGUGAAUACGUUCCCGGGCCU